Molecule: ribosomal RNA, 696 nt
Filed under: uncultured archaeon
Lineage: Archaea
Description: bacterial SSU rRNA
Rfam family: Archaeal small subunit ribosomal RNA
Source: RNAcentral
CAAACUGCUCAGUAACACAUGAUCAACUUACCCUGUAGAGAAAAAUAACCUCGGGAAACUGAGGAUAAUAUUUCAUAAUUGAAUUGGCUUGGAAAAGUUUUUCAAUGAAAAGGAUAAAAAAAAUGGUUUUUAUCUGCUAUAGGAUAGGAUCGUGUUCGAUUAUGGUUGUUGGUGAGGUAAUGGCUCACCAAGCCGAUAAUCGAUAGGGCCGUGCGAGCGGGAGCCCCGAGAUGGGUACUGAGACAACGACCCAGGCCUUACCAGGCGCAGCAGGCGCGAAACCUCCGCAAUACACGAAAGUGUGACGGGGUUACCCAAAGUGUUCAAUUUGAACUGUGGUAGGUGAGUAAUGUCCCCUACUAGAAAGGAGAGGGCAAGGCUGGUGCCAGCCGCCGCGGUAAAACCAGCUCUUCAAGUGGUCGGGAUAAUUAUUGGGCUUAAAGUGUCCGUAGCCGGUUUAGUAAGUUCCUGGUAAAAUCGGGUAGCUUAACUAUCUGCAUGCUAGGAAUACUGCUAUACUAGAGGGCGGGAGAGGUCUGAGGUACUACAGGGGUAGGGGUGAAAUCUUAUAAUCCUUGUAGGACCACCAGUGGCGAAGGCGUCAGACUGGAACGCGCCUGACGGUGAGGGACGAAAGCCAGGGGAGCGAACCGGAUUAGAUACCCGGGUAGUCCUGGCCGUAAACGAUGCAUACUA